GCACCGGUGGUGUCUGGGACACACUGCCCUACAGUAAUCCUGUCUUUUCGUAACUCCGGUGGAGACGGGUUCGAUUCCCGGCUGGUGCA
Mycena leptocephala is the source of this 89-nucleotide non-coding RNA. Lineage: Eukaryota; Fungi; Basidiomycota; Agaricomycetes; Agaricales; Mycenaceae. The record is from the annotation of a GenBank genome assembly.